CCUACGGGAGGCAGCAGUGAGGAAUAUUGGUCAAUGGACGAGAGUCUGAACCAGCCAAGUAGCGUGAAGGAUGACUGCCCUAUGGGUUGUAAACUUCUUUUAUCUGGGAAUAAAACGUUCCACGUGUGGGUUUUUGUAUGUACCAUAUGAAUAAGCAUCGGCUAACUCCGUGCCAGCAGCCGCGGUAAUACGGAGGAUCCGAGCGUUAUCCGGAUUUAUUGGGUUUAAAGGGUGCGUAGGUGGUUUGUUAAGUCAGUUGUGAAAGUUUGCGGCUCAACCAUAAAAUUGCAGUUGAAACUGGCAGUCUUGAGUACAGUAGAGGUAGGCGGAAUUCGUGGUGUAGCGGUGAAAUGCUUAGAUAUCACGAAGAACUCCGAUUGCGAAGGCAGUUCACUAAACUACAACUGACACUGAGGCUCGAAAGUGUGGGUAUCAAACAGGAUUAGAUACCCCUGUAGUC
RNAcentral lists this ribosomal RNA (460 nucleotides) under uncultured bacterium. Its description in RNAcentral is "partial 16S ribosomal RNA". It matches the Rfam family "Bacterial small subunit ribosomal RNA", at positions 338 to 795 of the family's 1533-position model. The record is from RNAcentral.